UCUCCUGCCUCUCAAAACUAAAGCAAAAGUUUUCGAUAUGCUUGGGGUAAUAAAAGUCAUAGGUAAGAACCACAAUUACAGGACCAUCCCUGCAGAGGUUAUACCGAAGAGCCAAAACAGAUCAGGGCAAACUACUUUCUAGAAAGCACACCUGUCCCAGUCUCUGGCUGUUUCACCCCACAACCUGACUUCCCACCACGCAGCCGGGUAAGAAGGCAGCCCCAUGAAACCAGGCUGUAAACAACCUCCUUUCUCCCCAGUUUUCUGUCUCUUCC
Molecule: non-coding RNA, 275 nt
Organism: Callorhinus ursinus (northern fur seal)
Lineage: Eukaryota; Metazoa; Chordata; Mammalia; Carnivora; Otariidae
Source: RefSeq, a predicted model, not a curated record